AGGAUGAACGCUGGCGGCGUGCCUAACACAUGCAAGUCGAACGUCCUGUCUCGCAAGAGGCAGGGAGUGGCGGACGGGUGAGUACCACGUGGGUCAUCUACCGUGAGGUGAGGAAUACCGGCGAGAAAUCGCCGACAAGACCGCAUAGGCUCGAUGCAAGUCGAGCAAAGCUCUUUCGAGAGAGGGAGCGCCACACGAGGAGCCUGCGCCCGAUUAGCUAGCUGGUGGAGUAACGGUUCACCAGGGCGACGAUCGGUAGCUGGUCUGAGAGGACGAUCAGCCACACUGGGAUUGAGAACGGCCCAGACUCCUACGGGGGGCAGCAGUGAGGAAUUUUUCGUCAAUGGGGGCAACCCUGAACGAGCAACGCCGCGUGCAGGAAGAAGGUUUUCGGAUCGUAAACUGCUUUUCUCGGGGAAGAGAACGGACGGUACCCGAGGAAUCAGCCCGGCUAACUACGCGCCAGCAGCCGCGGU
This 476-nucleotide ribosomal RNA is filed under the name uncultured bacterium. RNAcentral describes it as "SSU rRNA". It matches the Rfam family "Bacterial small subunit ribosomal RNA", at positions 26 to 521 of the family's 1533-position model. The record is from RNAcentral.